This 24-nucleotide non-coding RNA is filed under the name Gossypium hirsutum (cotton). The record is from RNAcentral. Lineage: Eukaryota; Viridiplantae; Streptophyta; Magnoliopsida; Malvales; Malvaceae.
UUAAUCAAAUUGGUGUCAUAUUAA